RNAcentral lists this ribosomal RNA (235 nucleotides) under uncultured Staphylococcus sp. RNAcentral's name for it is "partial 16S ribosomal RNA". It matches the Rfam family "Bacterial small subunit ribosomal RNA", at positions 105 to 334 of the family's 1533-position model. The record is from RNAcentral. Lineage: Bacteria; Bacillati; Bacillota; Bacilli; Caryophanales; Staphylococcaceae.
GGUGAGUAACACGUGGAUAACCUACCUAUAAGACUGGGAUAACUUCGGGAAACCGGAGCUAAUACCGGAUAAUAUUUUGAACCGCAUGGUUCAAAAGUGAAAGACGGUCUUGCUGUCACUUAUAGAUGGAUCCGCGCUGCAUUAGCUAGUUGGUAAGGUAACGGCUUACCAAGGCAACGAUGCAUAGCCGACCUGAGAGGGUGAUCGGCCACACUGUAACUGAGACACGGUCCAG